UUAUAAGUGGACAUUUUUAAUAAUAUUUAUGUAUAAAAAAAAAAAAAAAAACGCUAUACGAAAUGUGUUUCUACAUUUUUGUAUGGUUGAUUAAUGGUUCUCAUUUAUAUCUAUAAAAAUUCUUGAUAGGCGACAAAACACAGUUUUAAUGAUUGUAUUACAUUAAUUGAGACACUAAAUGCAGCAUUUAAGAGCAAUUCUCUGUAACCACCAAAAAAAAAUUCUAAUAGGGUAUGGCACACAGUCUCAGAUUUUGAUGAAACUUUUAUAUAUAAUAGCCAGUACCAUACCUUAAUGCAAUAACAGGCAACAAAUUGUUCCGGAUAAUCCGGUUGCCAUGGAAACCACAUAGGUUGAUUUUAGCGAUAAAAGGUCAUUGAAAAAGUGAAAAAAAA
RNAcentral lists this long non-coding RNA (395 nucleotides) under Mytilus galloprovincialis (Mediterranean mussel). Lineage: Eukaryota; Metazoa; Mollusca; Bivalvia; Mytilida; Mytilidae. The record is from RNAcentral.